GUGGGGAAUAUUGGACAAUGGGCGAAAGCCUGAUCCAGCCAUGCCGCGUGUGUGAAGAAGGUCUUCGGAUUGUAAAGCACUUUAAGUUGGGAGGAAGGGCAGUAAGUUAAUACCUUGCUGUUUUGACGUUACCGACAGAAUAAGCACCGGCUAACUUCGUGCCAGCAGCCGCGGUAAUACGAAGGGUGCAAGCGUUAAUCGGAAUUACUGGGCGUAAAGCGCGCGUAGGUGGUUUUGUAAGUUGGAGGUGAAAUCCCCGGGCUCAACCUGGGAACUGCCUCCAAAACUGCAUGACUAGAGUACGGUAGAGGGUAGUGGAAUUUCCUGUGUAGCGGUGAAAUGCGUAGAUAUAGGAAGGAACACCAGUGGCGAAGGCGACUACCUUGACUGAUACUGACACUGAGGUGCGAAAGCGUGGGGAGCAAACAGGAUUAGAAACCCGUGUAGUCC
This 450-nucleotide ribosomal RNA is filed under the name uncultured bacterium. Its description in RNAcentral is "partial 16S ribosomal RNA". It matches the Rfam family "Bacterial small subunit ribosomal RNA", at positions 354 to 796 of the family's 1533-position model. The record is from RNAcentral.